RNA transcript from Myotis brandtii (Brandt's bat), 615 nucleotides. It is a transcript of the gene named S-phase kinase-associated protein 1, with no coding region annotated. The transcript has a single exon. The record is from RefSeq and is a predicted model, not a curated record. Lineage: Eukaryota; Metazoa; Chordata; Mammalia; Chiroptera; Vespertilionidae.
CCAGACCAUAAAACACAGAACCUGGGUGAGUGGCCUUGCUCUCCACCUCUUUCCUUUGGGUUCUGCCAACGCUGGCCGGCUCUCCUCAGCCUCCGGCCCCCUCUCUCCGUGAGAUCGAGCACCAUGCCUUCGAUUAAACUGCAGAGUUCUGAUGGAGAGGUAUUUGAGGUUGAUGUUGAAACUGCCAAACAAUCUGUGACUAUCAAGACCAUGUUAGAAGAUUUGGGAAUGGACGAUGAAGGCGACGAUGACCCAGUUCCUCUACCAAAUGUGGAUGCAGCAAUAUUACAAAAGCUCCUUCAGUGGUGCACCCACCACAGGGCUGACCCUCCUCCUCCUGAGGACGAUGAGAACAAGGAAAAGCGGACAGAUGACAUUCCUGUUUGGGACCAAGAAUUCCUCAACGUUGACCAAGGAACCCUGUUUGAACUCACUCUGGCUGCAAACUAUUUAGACAUCAAAGGUUUGCUUGAUGCUACAUGCAAGACGGUGGCCAAUAUGAUCCAGGGGAAAACCCCGGAAGAGAUUCGCAAGACCCUCAAUAUAAAGAGUGACUUUACUGCAGAACAGGAAGCCCAGGUCCGCAGAGAGAACCAGUGGUGUGAAGAGAAGUGA